GCGGGAGUGGCGAAAUGGCAGACGCACCAUCUUGAGGGGGUGGCGCUCACAAGGCGUGGGGGUUCAAGUCCCCCCUCCCGCACCA
Molecule: transfer RNA, 85 nt
Filed under: Ignavibacteria bacterium
Lineage: Bacteria; Pseudomonadati; Ignavibacteriota; Ignavibacteria
Description: tRNA-Leu
Rfam family: tRNA
About the family: Transfer RNA (tRNA) molecules are approximately 80 nucleotides in length. Their secondary structure includes four short double-helical elements and three loops (D, anti-codon, and T loops).
Source: RNAcentral